UAGGGAAUCUUCCGCAAUGGACGCAAGUCUGACGGCGCAAUGCCGCGUGAGUGAAGAAGGAUUUCGGUUCGUAAAACUCUGUUGUUAGAGAAGAACAGCGCAUAGAGUAACUGUUAUGCGUGUGACGGUAUCUAACCAGAAAGCCACGGCUAACUACGUGCCAGCAGCCGCGGUAAUACGUAGGUGGCAAGCGUUGUCCGGUUUUAUUGGGCGUAAAUCGAGCGCAGGCGGUCAAUUAAGUCUGAUGUGAAAGCCCCCGGCUCAACCGGGGAGGGUCAUUGGAAACUGGUUGACUUGAGUGCAGAAGAGGAGAGUGGAAUUCCAUGUGUAGCGGUGAAAUGCGUAGAUAUAUGGAAGAACACCAGUGGCGAAGGCGACUCUCUGGUCUGUAACUGACGCUGAGGUUCGAAAGCGUGGGUAGCAAACAGG
This 429-nucleotide ribosomal RNA is filed under the name Bacteroidota bacterium. RNAcentral's name for it is "Bacteroidetes bacterium partial 16S ribosomal RNA". It matches the Rfam family "Bacterial small subunit ribosomal RNA", at positions 355 to 776 of the family's 1533-position model. Lineage: Bacteria; Pseudomonadati; Bacteroidota. The record is from RNAcentral.